AUACGGAGGAUGCGAGCGUUAUCCGGAUUUAUUGGGUUUAAAGGGUGCGUAGGCUGUGCGUUAAGUCAGGGGUGAAAUGCCGUCGCUCAACGACGGAGCUGCCCUUGAUACUGGCGUGCUGGAGUACGGAUGCCGUUGGAGGAAUGAGUGGUGUAGCGGUGAAAUGCUUAGAUAUCACUCAGAACACCGAUUGCGAAGGCAUCUGACGAAUCCGUCACUGACGCUGAGGCACGAAAGCGUGGGGAUAGAACGGGAUUAGAUACCCUGGUAUUCCACGCCGUAAACGAUGAUGACUAACCGUCGGCGAUAGACAGCCGGUGGCCAAGCGAAAGCGAUAAGUCAUCCACCUGGGGAGUACGUCGGCAACGAUGAAACUCAAAUGAAUUGACGGGG
This 393-nucleotide ribosomal RNA is filed under the name uncultured bacterium. Its description in RNAcentral is "partial 16S ribosomal RNA". It matches the Rfam family "Bacterial small subunit ribosomal RNA", at positions 523 to 918 of the family's 1533-position model. The record is from RNAcentral.